RNAcentral lists this transfer RNA (73 nucleotides) under Bos grunniens (domestic yak). It matches the Rfam family "tRNA". Rfam says of the family: Transfer RNA (tRNA) molecules are approximately 80 nucleotides in length. Their secondary structure includes four short double-helical elements and three loops (D, anti-codon, and T loops). The record is from Rfam by way of RNAcentral. Lineage: Eukaryota; Metazoa; Chordata; Mammalia; Artiodactyla; Bovidae. RNAcentral also lists the same sequence under 2 other names.
UCCUUGGUGGUUCAGUGGCUAAGACUCUGAGCUCCCAACACAGGGGCCCUGGGUUCCAUUCCCGGUCAGGGAG